CGCGUAGGCGGCCUUCUAAGUCGAACGUGAAAUCCCCGGGCUCAACCCGGGAACUGCGUCCGAUACUGGAAGGCUUGAAUCCGGGAGAGGGAUGCGGAAUUCCAGGUGUAGCGGUGAAAUGCGUAGGUAUCUGGAGGAACACCGGUGGCGAAGGCGGCAUCCUGGACCGGCAUUGACGCUGAGGCGCGAAAGCCAGGGGAGCAAACG
This 207-nucleotide ribosomal RNA is filed under the name uncultured bacterium. RNAcentral describes it as "partial 16S ribosomal RNA". It matches the Rfam family "Bacterial small subunit ribosomal RNA", at positions 568 to 774 of the family's 1533-position model. The record is from RNAcentral.